RNAcentral lists this ribosomal RNA (235 nucleotides) under Klebsiella pneumoniae. RNAcentral's name for it is "partial 23S ribosomal RNA". It matches the Rfam family "Bacterial large subunit ribosomal RNA", at positions 1419 to 1656 of the family's 2925-position model. The record is from RNAcentral. Lineage: Bacteria; Pseudomonadati; Pseudomonadota; Gammaproteobacteria; Enterobacterales; Enterobacteriaceae.
UGGGAAACAGGUUAAUAUUCCUGUACUUGGUGUUACUGCGAAUGGGGGACGGAGAAGUCUAUGUUAGCCGGGCGACGGUUGUCCCGGUUUAAGCAUGUAGGCUGGUUAUCCAGGCAAAUCCGGAUAAUCAAGGCUGAGGUGUGAUGACGAGGCACUACGGUGCUGAAGUAACAAAUGCCCUGCUUCCAGGAAAAGCCUCUAAGCAUCAGGUAACAUCAAAUCGUACCCCAAACCG